Molecule: unclassified non-coding RNA, 351 nt
Filed under: uncultured fungus
Lineage: Eukaryota; Fungi
Description: partial contains 5.8S ribosomal RNA, internal transcribed spacer 2, and large subunit ribosomal RNA
Source: RNAcentral
AACGCACAUUGCGCUCUCUGGUAUUCCGGGGAGCAUGCUCGUUUCAGAAUGGUAACAACCUCACACAGAUGUUUUGGGUCUUGGCCCGAGAUGUCCUGUGUGGAUUUUGGACCUAUACUUUUGCAUUUCGGUGCAAAUGGUCUGAAAAGGAUUGUGUGCAUGUCUCACCUUCUGGUGGAUGUCUCAAGUGCAACAGAUGUUUAUUCUAUUUGUGUACCACUUGGAACGUUUCCAUCAUCAAAGGAAAGUGUGUAUGUGUAACCUGCCAUAUCAAACAGUUCUCGGAGGUGUAUGCCAUACGAGUUCUGGUUUCACUAUCUGAAAUCGAGCAAGAAAACCCGCUGAACUUAA